RNAcentral lists this ribosomal RNA (447 nucleotides) under uncultured bacterium. RNAcentral's name for it is "partial 16S ribosomal RNA". It matches the Rfam family "Bacterial small subunit ribosomal RNA", at positions 29 to 523 of the family's 1533-position model. The record is from RNAcentral.
AACGAACGCUGGCGGCAGGCUUAACACAUGCAAGUCGAACGCCCCGCAAGGGGAGUGGCAGACGGGUGAGUAACGCGUGGGAAUCUACCCAUCUCUGCGGAAUAGCUCCGGGAAACUGGAAUUAAUACCGCAUACGCCCUACGGGGGAAAGAUUUAUCGGGGAUGGAUGAGCCCGCGUUGGAUUAGCUAGUUGGUGGGGUAAAGGCCUACCAAGGCGACGAUCCAUAGCUGGUUUGAGAGGAUGAUCAGCCACAUUGGGACUGAGACACGACCCAAACUCCUACGGGAGGCAGCAGUGGGGAAUAUUGGACAAUGGGCGCAAGCCUGAUCCAGCCAUGCCGCGUGAGUGAUGAAGGCCUUAGGGUUGUAAAGCUCUUUCACCGGUGAAGAUAAUGACGGUAACCGGAGAAGAAGCCCCGGCUAACUUCGUGCCAGCAGCCGCGGUAA